This 392-nucleotide ribosomal RNA is filed under the name uncultured bacterium. RNAcentral describes it as "partial 16S ribosomal RNA". It matches the Rfam family "Bacterial small subunit ribosomal RNA", at positions 523 to 918 of the family's 1533-position model. The record is from RNAcentral.
AUACGGAGGAUGCGAGCGUUAUCCGGAUUUAUUGGGUUUAAAGGGAGCGUAGGCGGGAGCUUAAGUCAGCGGUUAAAUGGUGCGGCUCAACCGUGCCCUGCCGUUGAAACUGGGUUUCUUGAGAGUGCAAGAGGCGGAUGGAAUUCAUGGUGUAGCGGUGGAAUGCUUAGAUAUCAUGAAGAACUCCGAUUGCGAAGGCAGUCCGCUGGGGCACGUCUGACGCUGAUGCUCGAAGGUGCGGGAAUCAAACAGGAUUAGAUACCCUGGUAGUCCGCACGGUAAACGAUGAUUACCCGCUGUCGGCGGCAGACAGUCGGCGGCCAAGCGAAAGCGAUAAGUAAUCCACCUGGGGAGUACGCCGGCAACGGUGAAACUCAAAGGAAUUGACGGGG